CCCUUAGAUGUUCUGGGCCGCACGCGCGCUACACUGACGAAGUCAGCGAGCAUGUCCUACGCCGACAGGUGCUGGGAAUCUUGUCAAACUUCGUCGUGAUGGGGAUUGAUUAUUGAAAUUCUUGAUCAUCAACGAGGAAUUCCUAGUAAGCGCAAGUCAGCAGCUUGCGUUGAUUACGUCCCUGCCCUUUGUACACACCGCCCGUCGCUACUACCGAUUGAAUGGUUUAGUGAGAUCUUCGGAUUGGCGCCACUGCGGCUCAGCAAUGGGCUCGGUGGAUGCCGAAAAGUUGAUCAAACUUGAUCAUUUAGAGGAAGUAAAAGUCGUAACA
This 331-nucleotide ribosomal RNA is filed under the name uncultured eukaryote. RNAcentral's name for it is "partial 18S ribosomal RNA". It matches the Rfam family "Eukaryotic small subunit ribosomal RNA", at positions 1470 to 1796 of the family's 1831-position model. The record is from RNAcentral.